UGCAGGUUAGAACAACUGGUAGUUUCGCUAGGUUAAAAUAUGAAACUUAGAGCCACAGGUUCGAGUCCUGUACCUGCAA
This 79-nucleotide transfer RNA is filed under the name Segatella copri. RNAcentral describes it as "tRNA-OTHER". It matches the Rfam family "tRNA". From Rfam's summary of the family: Transfer RNA (tRNA) molecules are approximately 80 nucleotides in length. Lineage: Bacteria; Pseudomonadati; Bacteroidota; Bacteroidia; Bacteroidales; Prevotellaceae. The record is from RNAcentral.